Molecule: ribosomal RNA, 854 nt
Filed under: Gyronactis asiatica
Lineage: Eukaryota; Fungi; Ascomycota; Arthoniomycetes; Arthoniales; Roccellaceae
Description: LSU rRNA
Rfam family: Eukaryotic large subunit ribosomal RNA
Source: RNAcentral
GGAUUGCCCCAGUAACGGCGAGUGAAGCGGCAACAGCUCAAAUUUGAAAUCUGGCCCUCCUUGGGGGCCGAGUUGUAAUUUGCAGAGGAUGCUUCGGCGUUGGCCCCGGGCCAAGUCCCCUGGAACGGGGCGUCCUAGAGGGUGAGAGCCCCGUACUCACCCGGGUGUCCCUCGCCUGACGAAGCUCCUUCGACGAGUCGAGUUGUUUGGGAAUGCAGCUCUAAGCGGGAGGUAAAUUUCUUCUAAAGCUAAAUACCGGCCAGAGACCGAUAGCGCACAAGUAGAGUGAUCGAAAGAUGAAAAGCACUUUGGAAAGAGAGUUAAAAAGCACGUGAAAUUGUUGAAAGGGAAGCUCUUGCCGCCAGACUUGCCGCGGUUGUUCAGCCGUCCCCUCGGGGCGGUGUACUCUUCCGCCGGCAGGCCAGCGUCGGUUCGGGCGGCCGGACAAAGGCCACGGGAAUGUAGCACCUCCAGGGGUGUGUUAUAGCCCGGGGCGUAAUGCGGUCAGCCCGGUCCGAGGGACGCGUUCGCGAGGACGUUGGCGUAAUGGUUGCAAGCGACCCGUCUUGAAACACGGACCAAGGAGUCUAACAUCUGUGCGAGUGUUUGGGCGUCAAACCCAUGCGCGCAAUGAAAGUGAACGGAGGUGGGAACCCCGCGAAGGGGCGCACCAUCGACCGAUCCUGAUGUCUUCGGAUGGAUUUGAGUAAGAGCAUAGCUGUUGGGACCCGAAAGAUGGUGAACUAUUCCCGGAUAGGGUGAAGCCAGAGGAAACUCUGGUGGAGGCUCGCAGCGGUUCUGACGUGCAAAUCGAUCGUCAAAUCUAGGAAUAGGGGCGAAAGACUAAUCGAACC